CGUGUGAAAGACAAGCAUGGAUGAAGGUCUUAAAGAUAUCUUUUGAAACUUGUCUUUUGGGAAGACAUGGUAAAUUGAGUUAGCUUUACAAUGGAGGUGGUUUCAAGUCGUUUGGAGCUGUAUUGAGGGAUUUAUGAUCAAAAUACUACACACAUAUCAGUGUGUGCAACAUGGAGAAAGUGGAGAAAACUUUAAUGAGUGAGUUUUAUCUCUUUAAAGCUUGCAACAUGGGGGAUGGGUUGUCUAUCAUGAGUUUGGUGGCUCUUUUGGCCUAACUUUCUCUACCUUUUCUGAAGAGGCAAGACUACUUUGGCCAUAUGAAGGGGCAAAAGGUGUUCUAUAAUGGAAGAAAGUGGAGAAUAACUUUUAUGAGUGUGUUUUAUGCUUUAUGCUUUCACAUGAUGGAUGUGUUGUCAUCCUCCUUUACUUAGGCUAUAAAAGAGACUGCAAGGGGAAGGAGGAAGACACAAUACACAGAGUACAAUACAACAAAGAGUAGAGAGUGAAAGUUUUAUAGUUUCAUAUUUUGUAUUUUGAGAGUUUGAGAGAAAACAUUUGUUCUUGGAGUGUUCUUGAAGUUUAUGUUAUAAAGUCUUGUUUUCCUUUAGCCAUUCUCUUCAUCUAAUUUCUGUUUCUUGUUUUCAUAUAUCAUAUCAUCUUGGUUAUGCUUCUAUCCAUCAUGGGAUUAAGUGUAAACAAGAUGAUUAGUGAGUAAUCACCCUUAGGAUCAAUGGGUUAGGUAGAUUAAUGGGUGAUUAGGGAAGAGUUAAGGUGUUCUAAUGGUUAAAUGCUUAGAUUUCUAUGCUUACUAAGUAUUCUUAAUGCUAGAUUAAUUUUGGCCAUUUUAAUCUAGAUUCUAAGUGUUUGUAGGGCAUCGAAAGUGUUUGCAUAAUGCUUGAAUGGACCUAGUAAAGCUCUAGCUUGAAUAACCAAGGAAUUGUUGUUAGGAUUGCUAGAUGGUUAGUAGACUAGAACUUAAUGUAUGUUUGAGUGAACAAAACGAACGGAAGUUGAUGUUUAGUUCAUAAUUGCAUAAGGGUUUCUACCACGGGAGUGGAUUAAUCUAAAUUGAAUGAAAUCUAGACCUAUAGAAAGUUAAGAUUAUUUGAAGUUAGACGCCUUGAUUUA
Molecule: long non-coding RNA, 1128 nt
Organism: Brassica napus (rape)
Lineage: Eukaryota; Viridiplantae; Streptophyta; Magnoliopsida; Brassicales; Brassicaceae
Exons: 2
Source: RefSeq, a predicted model, not a curated record